AUUGAACGCUGGCGGCAUGCUUUACACAUGCAAGUCGAACGGUAACAGGCCGCAAGGUGCUGACGAGUGGCGAACGGGUGCGUAAUGCAUCGGAACGUGCCCAGUCGUGGGGGAUAACUACUCGAAAGAGUAGCUAAUACCGCAUACGAUCUAUGGAUGAAAGCGGGGGACCGUAAGGCCUCGCGCGAUUUGAGCGGCCGAUGUCAGAUUAGGUAGUUGGUGGGGUAAAGGCUCACCAAGCCAACGAUCUGUAGCUGGUCUGAGAGGACGACCAGCCACACUGGGACUGAGACACGGCCCAGACUCCUACGGGAGGCAGCAGUGGGGAAUUUUGGACAAUGGGCGCAAGCCUGAUCCAGCAAUGCCGCGUGCAGGAAGAAGGCCUUCGGGUUGUAAACUGCUUUUGUACGGAACGAAACGGCUCUGGUUAAUACCCGGGGCUAAUGACGGUACCGUAAGAAUAAGCACCGGCUAACUACGUG
This 482-nucleotide ribosomal RNA is filed under the name uncultured bacterium. RNAcentral describes it as "partial 16S ribosomal RNA". It matches the Rfam family "Bacterial small subunit ribosomal RNA", at positions 30 to 507 of the family's 1533-position model. The record is from RNAcentral.